This is a non-coding RNA of Pelobates cultripes (western spadefoot toad), 225 nucleotides long. The record is from the annotation of a GenBank genome assembly. Lineage: Eukaryota; Metazoa; Chordata; Amphibia; Anura; Pelobatidae.
AAGCAAUGUUAGCUCACAAGGGAAAGACAAGCUGUGCAUCACACUUAGAACUGAUUAGAAAAAUCCAGUAUCGCUGGUAUAUGGUACCGGACAGACUGGCGCGAAUCUACCCGAACACUACCAGCUUCUGCUGGAGGUGUUUACAGGAAACGGGAACGAUGUACCACAUUUGGUGGACUUGUCCCAAGAUCAAGGGAUGUUGGCGUAUGGUGGGUGACGUAUUAA